This 253-nucleotide ribosomal RNA is filed under the name uncultured bacterium. RNAcentral's name for it is "partial 16S ribosomal RNA". It matches the Rfam family "Bacterial small subunit ribosomal RNA", at positions 524 to 776 of the family's 1533-position model. The record is from RNAcentral.
UACGUAGGGACCAAGCGUUGUUCGGAUUUCCUGGGCGUAAAGGGCGCGUAGGCGGCGCGGUAAGUCACUUGUGAAAUCUCUGAGCUUAACUCAGAACGGCCAAGUGAUACUGCAGUGCUAGAGUGUGGAAGGGGCAAUCGGAAUUCUUGGUGUAGCGGUGAAAUGCGUAGAUAUCAAGAGGAACACCUGAGGUGAAGACGGGUUGCUGGGCCAACACUGACGCUGAGGCGCGAAAGCCAGGGGAGCAAACGGG